This 77-nucleotide transfer RNA is filed under the name Schaalia odontolytica. Its description in RNAcentral is "Actinomyces odontolyticus tRNA-Ile(gat)". It matches the Rfam family "tRNA". Rfam says of the family: Transfer RNA (tRNA) molecules are approximately 80 nucleotides in length. The record is from RNAcentral. RNAcentral also lists the same sequence under 51 other names. Lineage: Bacteria; Bacillati; Actinomycetota; Actinomycetes; Actinomycetales; Actinomycetaceae.
GGGCCUAUAGCUCAGUAGGUUAGAGCGCAGUCCUGAUAAGACUGAGGUCGGUGGUUCGAGCCCACCUAGGCCCACCA